UGUACCUCAAGAGGUCUAUCAGGUGUCUGCUGUGUCACAUGUGCGUCAGUAGGUGGCAGAGGGGAGAGAGGCUGUGUCUACUCUUCGUGUUCUUACCUACAAACAUCUCAAUGAUUAGUUCCUGAAAAA
Molecule: small nucleolar RNA, 129 nt
Organism: Psammomys obesus (fat sand rat)
Lineage: Eukaryota; Metazoa; Chordata; Mammalia; Rodentia; Muridae
Product: small nucleolar RNA SNORA17
Exons: 1
Source: RefSeq, a predicted model, not a curated record